This 432-nucleotide long non-coding RNA is filed under the name Elaeis guineensis (African oil palm). RNAcentral's name for it is "long non-coding RNA (EGUI_LNC024422)". Lineage: Eukaryota; Viridiplantae; Streptophyta; Magnoliopsida; Arecales; Arecaceae. The record is from RNAcentral.
GGGUGGGACUUCUCCAUUAUAAUGAGGAUGUAUGAUAAGUGUCCCCAACGUACACACAGCUUUUAAUACCUUUUUGAACCAUUCAUGUACGAUUUGAGGCAAGUGUUGAAAUCUUUUGACAACCAUAUGAAAAUGAUGACUCCGCGCAAUAACUAGUAAGAAUAUAUCAACAACUUUUUCUACAGUCAACAUAUCUCUAUCUCUCAAAACGUUAACCGACAAUUAUCGUAAUUGAUCACACAAUGCUCUGAACACAUGUGGCAUCAUUCAAAAACUUUUAAAGCAUCUUUUUGAAUGCCCGUUCAUAAGCUCAAGUAUGUAUUCUCGAUCUUGCAAGAUAGAUGUCCUGCAAGGUUGGUGAGACAUCCUAUCUUGAUAAUUUUUCUUUAAAGUAAGCACUCUAAUGUCCUCUAGAUCUUCAUCAAUUUCAUC